UAGGACAUUGAGAUGAGAUGGCAACGUG
Molecule: small RNA, 28 nt
Filed under: Bombyx mori (domestic silkworm)
Lineage: Eukaryota; Metazoa; Arthropoda; Insecta; Lepidoptera; Bombycidae
Description: piRNA piR-bmo-1503641
Source: RNAcentral